Non-coding RNA from Podarcis lilfordi (Lilford's wall lizard), 334 nucleotides. The record is from the annotation of a GenBank genome assembly. Lineage: Eukaryota; Metazoa; Chordata; Lepidosauria; Squamata; Lacertidae.
GAACCUGGACAGAGGCCAAGUGUUGGGAGCCCUUUACCCUUCAGAGGGGGUGCAGAAAAACGUCCUCGAGACCCCAUGAGCAGUGGGGGGGCAGUGAGCAGUGAAAGCUCAGAGACGCCUCUUUCUCCAAAAGCUGCCAAGAGUUGUUUACGUCGUGAGUCGGAGCCUGGGAAGCUGAAAAGUGCUAGAGGCUUCAAGGUCAGCCACCUGCAUCAAGUAGAGAUAAGAGCUUCAGAGUUGUGUGGGAACGCCGAGACAAGUCCAGUCUCCAUGGCAACUGAGAGAGUUGCAUCUACGGCAACUGUGAAGGUCGUGGGCAAGUCUUCCUGCCGGG